This is a long non-coding RNA of Daphnia carinata, 998 nucleotides long. RefSeq lists it as uncharacterized. NCBI's taxonomy places the organism in Eukaryota, Metazoa, Arthropoda, Branchiopoda, Diplostraca, Daphniidae. The transcript has 4 exons. The record is from RefSeq and is a predicted model, not a curated record.
UAAUUAUUCUUCACAGGUAACAGUGAUUUGCCAACGCCAUCUCUAUCACUAAAGUGUACUGGCGGUUUAGUACUGAACAGCCUGUGCUGGUAUACUUUUUGCUUAAAUUUAGAGAACUUACAGUCCAUCAUAUUCCAAUUUAUUUAUUGCGUAUAUUCUAAUCAGAACUAAUUUAAUUGCCUUAAAUUCAAUUCACUAAACGUUCAUUUGGGCCCUUGCGUGUAAAAAUUUUACAACAGGGCGAUGUUUAUAACAAUUCCGCCUAUUGGGCUUCCUCUCUUCUCAUUGCCAGUGAACGGCCAAUCAUCAACGACCUUUUGUGUACUGAACUACAGGCGUCUGCAAAAUUCCAUACGGUGUGGAACGAAAAAAGUGCUCGUGUUGGAGGUGUAAAAAGCCGUUGCGUGGAAGGAUAUUAUGAAAAAGACUUAACUUUCACCGUAGCCUUCCCAAUCCAAGUGAUUUUCGUCUUGCCUGAAAUAGUGAAGGAAAAAAGGGGUCACAUCAGGCUUCAUCUCCGCUCAGUGACAUGGACGAUGAAGAAUGCAUUGUUGGGAAAAUUCUCGGUCUGAGGAGAAGGAUGGUGAAGUUGGGUACUUGCUGAUAGGAAUUGGUGUUUAAAACGAUGGCAAUACUUGGGAGCCCAAGAAAAUCUUUAUUGUAAUAAUUUGAUUGCAGCAUUUGAAAGCAAAUGUCUAUCGUUGACUGAGAAUCCUGAAAACAAGCUAAGCCAAGAGAAGAAAAUUGUGAAGAAAAAAAGAACUAAAGCACAGUUUGUUUCAAAUUCGUAACUAGAAGCAAUGAACAUCAAGAUGUGGUCAGGAAAUCUAUAGUUUUCUAGAUGUCACUAUGGAUGCCCAGUCUUCCAACAGGAUUUGAUCGAAAUGUAGAGGCGGAGAAAUUUUAGGAGUGAGCGAUGACGGUGGCGAAACUAUAUAGAUAGUUGUACGGAUGCGUAAAGAAUGAUGAUUGCAGGGCAAGAGAAUUUUCUUUUAUAC